Molecule: ribosomal RNA, 852 nt
Filed under: uncultured bacterium
Lineage: Bacteria
Description: bacterial SSU rRNA
Rfam family: Bacterial small subunit ribosomal RNA
Source: RNAcentral
AGAGUUUGAUCCUGGCUCAGAACGAACACUGGCGGCGUGGAUUAGGCAUGCAAGUCGAGCGGGAUUCCAUUUUUUCAAUUCUUCGGAAGAGAAGGUUUGGAUGAGAGCGGCGAACGGGUGAGUAAUAUAUGGGUAAUUUGCCUUGAAGCUCGGGAUAGCCAUUCGAAAGAGUGGGUAAUACCGAAUGUGCUCGGGGUCCGCAUGGACUCUUAUGUAAAGGUGGGGAUCUUCGGACCUGCCACUUCAAGAUAAGCCCAUAUCCUAUCAGCUUGUUAAUAAAAUAAUGGCUUACCAAGGCUUACGGGUAGCCGACCUGAGAGGGUGACCGGCCACACUGGGACUGAGACACUGCCCAGACUCCUACGGGAGGCUGCAGUCGAGAAUCAUUGUCAAUGCACGAAAGUGUGAACAUGCGACGCCGCGUGGAGGACGACGGCCUUCGGGUUGUAAACUCCUGUCCUGAGGGAGUAAGUGCACAUUCCUUAAUACGGUUUGUGUUUGAUAGUACCUCAGAAGAAAGUCACGGCUAACUCUGUGCCAGCAGCCGCGGUAAUACAGAGGUGGCGAGUGUUGUUCGGAUUUACUGGGCGUAAAGGGUCCGCAGGCGGUCCUGUGUGUCGGAUGUGAAAGCUCACGGCUUAACCGUGGAAUUGCAUUCGAAACUACAGGACUAGAGUACAGGAGGGGAGUAGGGAAUUCAUGGUGUAGCGGUGAAAUGCGUAGAUAUCAUGAAGAACACCGGUGGCGAAGGCGCUACUCUGGACUGAUACUGACGCUCAUGGACGAAAGCUGGGGGAGCGAAGAGGAUUAGAUACCCUCGUAGUCCCAGCCGUAAACGGUGUGCACUUGAUG